Molecule: long non-coding RNA, 672 nt
Filed under: Carica papaya (papaya)
Lineage: Eukaryota; Viridiplantae; Streptophyta; Magnoliopsida; Brassicales; Caricaceae
Description: long non-coding RNA (CPAP_LNC014748)
Source: RNAcentral
AGGAUCCUAGGUGUGAGUGAGGUACAUGAGGGAGUGGAGUGGGAUUGCUGGAGCCUUGGGGUGUAGGCAGCGUAAGUAGAGUCUAUGGCAGCAGGGGAAAGAUGGUGUGAGUGGGGACUCCUAGAGUAUGUUGCAGGUAGGGGGCAAAGAGGAGCAGUGGGAGAGAAUGAUUAACGUGUGUGUGUGUGGCCCGUUAGGGGUCGAUAGGGGGACGAUGGUCGCCGAGGUUAGUGACGAAAGUGAAUGAAAAUGGUGUAUGUGCGUGGCCUAGUAGAGUUCGAGAGGUAGCUGAUGGUCGCCGAUGUUGGUGACGGGAGCGAAUGAUCAGAGUGUGUGUGUGGCCUGGUAGGGGUCGAAAAGUGGUUAAUGGUCACCGAUGUUGGUGAUGGGAGAGGAUGAUCGGAGUGUGUGUGUGUUGCCCGAUAGGGGUCGGUAGGUGGAUGAUGGUCGCCGAUGUUGGUGAUGAAAACGAAUGAAAACAGUGUGCGUGCGUGGCCCAAUGGGGGUCGAAAGGUGGUUAAUGGUCGCCAAUGUUGGUGACCAGGGAGAAUGAUCGAGUGUGUGUGUAUGGCCCGAUAGGGGUCGGUAGGUGGAUGAUGGUCGCCGAUGUUGGUGACGAAAGUGAAUGAAAAUAGUGUGCGUGCGUGGCCCAGUGGGGGUUGAUAGAUGGUU